This 1732-nucleotide long non-coding RNA is filed under the name Marmota monax (woodchuck). Lineage: Eukaryota; Metazoa; Chordata; Mammalia; Rodentia; Sciuridae. The record is from RNAcentral.
GGUGUUCAAUGCUUGUUUGACAGUGUGUCCUGACUGCUGAUGGUUCUGAAACCAGAAGACUGACUUGGCUUGGAAACUCUCAGACGACGACACCCACUUCUGACUCACCUAGCUGUGGUUCCCAGGGAUCCGGUGCCUCUAAAACCGGGCUGGUGUUGACAAGUAACCACUUCCUGGCUUUCAGAAGAUAUGAUAAUGCUCUGUUGUACUUUCUAAGUCACAACCCAGGAAGGAGAGGAAAGAAGACUUUAGUGAGGAAAUUCACCAUGUUCAUGCUCAUUUCGCCUCUGCAGACAGACAACAUAUAGAGGGACGGCAUGUUGAGGAUGACGGUAGCACUCAGGUUUCUCAUGGGUUGACUCCCGGCCAGCACAGUGCAAAAGACAAUUACAGGCUUUAGCUCACAUGCCACCUAUGUUCCUACAUCCCUUCCCCACAGAAGGACACGGAGGCACAGAGAUCAUCUGACUGGCAAGGUGCACUGGUAGUGAGGGGCAGGGUGAGGGGCUGCGCAGCCUGAUGCGGUCUCUGCAGGAACAAUGGGAUAACCACCAGACACCAGUGACAGGUCUCCUCAGACCCUGAGUCCCAGGCAGGGCCACCAAACAGAUGUAAGCACAACUGGAACUGCAGAAUGCUUCAGGGCAUCAAAGGCACCCAAAAGGUUCUGUUUACUACAGUGGAUGCUUCUCCAUUUACAAUCCCUGUGUUGAUUGCAAUCAGUGAGGUUCUACUAUUUAUCAUUAGGGACCUCCAGAAUAGGGCAUGCAAGUUCAACUGCAUAACUUUCCCCUAAACUGUCCCAACCGCCUCCCCCCAAAAAAAAUCUAUAAGGAAGUCAUAGAUCCCUCCAGCCUCUUCUGUGGAAGCAAAGGAGCAGCCGGUGAAGCAAAACCUGGGUUGCUGUGAGAAGUUUGAGGGCCAAGCUGGAGGGCUCUGCAGCCCAAAGAACACUGGAGGAGGGUGUCAGGGGUCCGGGGACAAGAAACUGUAGCCAUCUGGGUCGCAGAACACUAAGAGCCCGGGUUAUCAGCCGUUCUCAGGGACCCCUUUUGUUUGUGGAUCUCACAAUGCUGAUGCUUACUUACAAAUGUGAGCCCGACACCACAGUUGGACACAGAAAGCUCUAGAAAGAAAUUGAUUCCGACGCCAGAGGCUGUUAACAACGUGAGAAGAUGGCGCCCUCUAGUGUCAGAAUGAUCCUGCAGUCCACACCAGCCUGAGAGCUGUGACCUUGAACACUGAGCAGGUGGCAGCUUCAAGGUGGCCGCCACCCACAGGCCUGGAGAGGGGGAGGGAAGAAAUCUGUAUUGGGAGUGGGUGACCAGUUUCUGCAGCUCAGGAUCCUCCCUCUGUUGACUUCCAGACCCCAGAAAUCUGUACUGCAGAACCUUCUAACGCAGCUUUCUCCAAAGACAGCAACAAAAACCAUUGAGCCCUUUUUUACGUGUUUUAUUUUCUCUUUUUCUCUUAGAAGAUGCAUGAUACCUUAAGAAUAAACGUUUUAACUUAAUAUGGUCAUAGUGUCUGGGAUCCUAUUGCCUGUUUUCAUCACAAGUGCUUCUUGUUCAAAGCCUGGUCAAUUCCAAACCAAUGACCUCUGUGACUGGCAAGACCGCCAUGAAAAACCGUUAACAGGGAAAUACCACAGACCUAGCUGAAAGUCAACCAAGGUCAUUUACACAUUCUUGAAAUUUAAACAGAAAGACAAGUUACAUAUCAAAGAACUGCC